AUACGGAGGAUCCGAGCGUUAUCCGGAUUUAUUGGGUUUAAAGGGAGCGUAGGUGGACAGUUAAGUCAGUUGUGAAAGUUUGCGGCUCAACCGUAAAAUUGCAGUUGAUACUAGCAGUCUUGAGUACAGUAGAGGUGGGCGGAAUUCGUGGUGUAGCGGUGAAAUGCUUAGAUAUCACGAAGAACUCCGAUUGCGAAGGCAGCUCACUAGACUGUUACUGACACUGAUGCUCGAAAGUGUGGGUAUCAAACAGGAUUAGAUACCCUGGUAGUCCACACAGUAAACGAUGAAUACUCGCUGUUUGCGAUAUACAGUAAGCGGCCAAGCGAAAGCAUUAAGUAUUCCACCUGGGGAGUACGCCGGCAACGGUGAAACUCAAAUGAAUUGACGGGG
RNAcentral lists this ribosomal RNA (393 nucleotides) under uncultured bacterium. Its description in RNAcentral is "partial 16S ribosomal RNA". It matches the Rfam family "Bacterial small subunit ribosomal RNA", at positions 523 to 918 of the family's 1533-position model. The record is from RNAcentral.